RNAcentral lists this ribosomal RNA (484 nucleotides) under uncultured bacterium. Its description in RNAcentral is "partial 16S ribosomal RNA". It matches the Rfam family "Bacterial small subunit ribosomal RNA", at positions 30 to 507 of the family's 1533-position model. The record is from RNAcentral.
AUUGAACGCUGGCGGCAGGCCUAACACAUGCAAGUCGAGCGGAUGAAGGGAGCUUGCUCCUGGAUUCAGCGGCGGACGGGUGAGUAAUGCCUAGGAAUCUGCCUGGUAGUGGGGGAUAACGUCCGGAAACGGGCGCUAAUACCGCAUACGUCCUGAGGGAGAAAGUGGGGGAUCUUCGGACCUCACGCUAUCAGAUGAGCCUAGGUCGGAUUAGCUAGUUGGUGGGGUAAAGGCCUACCAAGGCGACGAUCCGUAACUGGUCUGAGAGGAUGAUCAGUCACACUGGAACUGAGACACGGUCCAGACUCCUACGGGAGGCAGCAGUAGGGAAUAUUGGACAAUGGGCGAAAGCCUGAUCCAGCCAUGCCGCGUGUGUGAAGAAGGUCUUCGGAUUGUAAAGCACUUUAAGUUGGGAGGAAGGGAAGUAAGUGAAUACCUGGCUGUUUUGACGUUACCAACAGAAUAAGCACCGGCUAACUUCGUG